UACGGAGGAUGCAAGCGUUAUCCGGAAUCACUGGGUGUAAAGCGUCUGUAGGUUGUUGAGUAAGUCUGCUGUUAAAGCUUAGGGCUCAACCCUAAAAAAGCAGUGGAAACUGUUCGACUAGAGUAUAGUAGGGGUAAAGGGAAUUUCCAGUGGAGCGGUGAAAUGCGUAGAGAUUGGAAAGAACACCGAUGGCGAAGGCACUUUACUGGGCUAUUACUAACACUCAGAGACGAAAGCUAGGGUAGCAAAUGGG
Molecule: ribosomal RNA, 253 nt
Filed under: uncultured bacterium
Lineage: Bacteria
Description: partial 16S ribosomal RNA
Rfam family: Bacterial small subunit ribosomal RNA
Source: RNAcentral